RNAcentral lists this ribosomal RNA (492 nucleotides) under uncultured bacterium. RNAcentral describes it as "partial 16S ribosomal RNA". It matches the Rfam family "Bacterial small subunit ribosomal RNA", at positions 29 to 507 of the family's 1533-position model. The record is from RNAcentral.
AGUGAACGCUGGCGGUAGGCCUAACACAUGCAAGUCGAACGGCCGCACAGUAAGCUCUUGCUCUUACGGUUGGCGAGUGGCGGACGGGUGACGAAUACAUCGGCAUCUACUUUUUCGUGGGGGAUAACGUAGGGCCACUUCCGCUACUACCUCAUAUUUCCUACCGGUUAGAGCAGGGGAUCUUCGCACCUUUCCCGUCUGAAUGAGCCGGUGUCGGAUUAGCUAGUUUGCGUGGUAAAGGCCCACCAAGGCGACGAUCCGUAGCUGGUCUGAGAGGAUGAUCGGCCACACUGGAACUGAGACACGGUCCAGACUCCUACGGGAGGCAGCAGUAGGGAAUAUUGGGCAAUGGGCGCAAGCCUGAUCCAGCAAUACCGCGUGAGUGAUGAAGGCCUUCGGGUUGUAAAGCCCUUUUGUUGGGAAAGAAAAGAAGCGGGUUAAUACCCCGAUGUUCUGACGGUACCCAAAGAAUAAGCACCGGCUAACUUCGUG